Molecule: ribosomal RNA, 301 nt
Filed under: uncultured bacterium
Lineage: Bacteria
Description: partial 16S ribosomal RNA
Rfam family: Bacterial small subunit ribosomal RNA
Source: RNAcentral
CAGCAGCCACGGUAAUACGAAGGGUGCAAGCGUUACUCGGAAUUACUGGGCGUAAAGCGUGCGUAGGCGGUGGUUUAAGUCCGUUGUGAAAGCCCUGGGCUCAACCUGGGAAUUGCAGUGGAUACUGGGUCACUAGAGUGUGGUAGAGGAUAGUGGAAUUUCCGGUGUAGCAGUGAAAUGCGUAGAGAUCGGAAGGAACAUCUGUGGCGAAGGCGACUAUCUGGGCCAACACUGACACUGAGGCACGAAAGCGUGGGGAGCAAACAGGAUUAGAAUACCCGUGUAGUCCCUGUCUCUUAUU